RNAcentral lists this transfer RNA (97 nucleotides) under Xylaria arbuscula. It matches the Rfam family "tRNA". Rfam says of the family: Transfer RNA (tRNA) molecules are approximately 80 nucleotides in length. Their secondary structure includes four short double-helical elements and three loops (D, anti-codon, and T loops). The record is from Rfam by way of RNAcentral. Lineage: Eukaryota; Fungi; Ascomycota; Sordariomycetes; Xylariales; Xylariaceae.
UCCGAAUUGGUGUAGUGGCUAACAUUUGACGCUCUCAACUAAUCAAUAGUGAUUAGAUGGCACCGUCAAGCCCGGGGUUCGAUUCCCCGAUUCGGAG